UAAAAUCCAAUUCAAUUCUCCCCUUUUUCAUUAUAAAAAUUUAAAUACAUAAUUUUUUAUAUAUAAUUUUUAAAUAGUGUAGAUUAUAUGUAUUAAAGAUAAAUAUUGAUUUUAUAAUAUUGAUCACUUAGAUAUAAAUUAUACAAUAAAUAAGAAAAAAAGAGAUUGAUAGAGUUUAAGUUAAUAUUUAUUUUAAUAAAUUUAG
RNAcentral lists this long non-coding RNA (205 nucleotides) under Ananas comosus (pineapple). RNAcentral describes it as "long non-coding RNA (ACOM_LNC025003)". Lineage: Eukaryota; Viridiplantae; Streptophyta; Magnoliopsida; Poales; Bromeliaceae. The record is from RNAcentral.